Non-coding RNA from Triticum aestivum (bread wheat), 115 nucleotides. NCBI's taxonomy places the organism in Eukaryota, Viridiplantae, Streptophyta, Magnoliopsida, Poales, Poaceae. The record is from Rfam.
CUUGUACUCCCUCCGUCACAAAAUAAUUGUCAUUGAAAUGGAUGUAUCUAGAUGUAUUUUAGUUCUAGACACAUCCAUUUUGAUGACAAGUAAUUCCGGACGAAGGGAGUACUUG